Daphnia pulex (common water flea) is the source of this 757-nucleotide long non-coding RNA. RefSeq lists it as uncharacterized. The transcript is spliced from 2 exons. Lineage: Eukaryota; Metazoa; Arthropoda; Branchiopoda; Diplostraca; Daphniidae. The record is from RefSeq and is a predicted model, not a curated record.
AAAUAGGAGAGGCUCGCUCGAGCAGUUCAUCAAGUUUGAAGCGCUCACAUAUACGAAAGAAAAAAAAAACUGCUUGUGUAACAUUUUCGUGCAACAGCCAACUCUUCCCGUUGGUAUCGCUUUACGUGCACACCAGUUAGUAAAAGUAAUUUAGCUGCCGACAGGAGGACGACGAGAUCCCCGAAAGAAAGAAAAGAGAUGCAUUCAUUAUGAAUACGAUACGGUUGUCUUUCCUGUUUUUCUCGACUGAAAAAUCUUGGCGUUCUGGAACGACGCCGACUUUUCUCUCUAUUUAAAUUUCUUGUAACUUUGUGUGUUAUUUCUUCUUCUUCCUUCUGAACACCGUCAAACCCAGCAGAGAGAGUUCUUGGACAGCGCAUGCGUCAAAGUCACCCAACAGGUUUUUUCUUUCUUUUUCUUUUGAUUCCAGGAGGGUAAAAUUCCUGCCUGUUUUUGUGUUGGCUGCUGGCUGCAGCUUUUACCUGAGAAAGGACUUGUUCCAGCGAGUUGCCUUUGGUACGGAUGAGUUCCUCGGAGAGACCCAUUUCUUCUCUGGCUUGCUCCGAAAGGACAUUCUCGUUGAUAUCAGCCGAACGUGGUUUAACCCAGUAGUCUUGCACGGUCACCACCUGUGGAAAAAUAAAAUAACAAACAAGAAAAAAGACCUGGUCAGUGAAUCUGUAACUCGGCAACUUGAUUACGAAACCAAUAAAAUGAAUUUUGAGAAAGAAAACUCGGCGGUUGUGCCGAGUGGGUA